GUGCUUGUUUCUGCAGCAUACAUACACAAACUGGAUCCAUGCAGAGAUUAGCAUGAGCCUUGCCAAGAUGACACAUGAAUUUGUGAAACAUUCCAUCCUUUU
Small nuclear RNA from Mustela putorius furo (domestic ferret), 102 nucleotides. NCBI's taxonomy places the organism in Eukaryota, Metazoa, Chordata, Mammalia, Carnivora, Mustelidae. The record is from Ensembl.